Molecule: non-coding RNA, 81 nt
Organism: Ornithorhynchus anatinus (platypus)
Lineage: Eukaryota; Metazoa; Chordata; Mammalia; Monotremata; Ornithorhynchidae
Source: Rfam
UGCCCCUACCUGUGAUGAAAACAAGUGUUGGUAGGGACAUCUGAGAAAGCUGAUGAAUGCCAACACAGCUGAGUCGGGGCU